Molecule: ribosomal RNA, 497 nt
Filed under: uncultured bacterium
Lineage: Bacteria
Description: partial 16S ribosomal RNA
Rfam family: Bacterial small subunit ribosomal RNA
Source: RNAcentral
AUGAACGCUGGCGGCGUGCCUAAUACAUGCAAGUCGAGCGAACAGACGAGGAGCUUGCUCCUCUGACGUUAGCGGCGGACGGGUGAGUAACACGUGGAUAACCUACCUAUAAGACUGGGAUAACUUCGGGAAACCGGAGCUAAUACCGGAUAAUAUAUUGAACCGCAUGGUUCAAUAGUGAAAGACGGUCUUGCUGUCACUUAUAGAUGGAUCCGCGCCGCAUUAGCUAGUUGGUAAGGUAACGGCUUACCAAGGCAACGAUGCGUAGCCGACCUGAGAGGGUGAUCGGCCACACUGGAACUGAGACACGGUCCAGACUCCUACGGGAGGCAGCAGUAGGGAAUCUUCCGCAAUGGGCGAAAGCCUGACGGAGCAACGCCGCGUGAGUGAUGAAGGUCUUCGGAUCGUAAAACUCUGUUAUUAGGGAAGAACAAAUGUGUAAGUAACUAUGCACGUCUUGACGGUACCUAAUCAGAAAGCCACGGCUAACUACGUGC